AUCAACCCCCCAAAUUUAUCCCUGUAACUCGGCUAAUUCAGCAUCCAAGCUCAACCUCUUUGGUAUGGCAACUUCAAUGCCACGACACCUCAGUCCCAUUAAGCGAUCAAAGUCCUUCUCCAUUACUGACAGGUUUCACCUGUGGAUCUUGAUGGUACAAUUUUUCACAUUAAAAUUGUCCAACAACAUUUUGCAUAGUGACAGGUUUAACUCCCUGCAUCGAAACUGGUGCACAGGACCAAAUCCCAAAUCAUUAAUCUCAAAUACCUUAUCAUUUGAAAUUCGGGACACUACGUCUUUAAACACUUUUGGCUUACAUCCUAUUAAAAUUCCACAGUCUCCAUCCAAUGGGAUCCGGAUCCUCUCCUAAUAAACCUCUGCUAAUACUUCCUAAUAAGAAGAUCUAGACCGUUCAUUUUCCAUAGACGGUCAAGAUAUUAACAAGGCUAUUUCUCAUCUACUCUCUUAUUUCUGUCUCGAUCAAAUUCUCAUCCCAUUCUCUCUCUCUUUCGUCCCGGAAAUCAAUCUCGCCUCUGUUCGGACCUCUUCCCAACCUCCGGCUCCGGUGUGGAGGUGUCCUCCACGCAGAAGACCCAUUUGCUCUGGGACCGAAAUCUCUCUUUGACUCUUCUGAUUACCGGUAGCUUGAAUUGCGUUACAUCAACAGUUGCCCAAAGUGGGACUGUGUUUCGUCUCCAUAAAACUUGUUUUGAAUUGCUUUUUGAAGGCACGAGCACGUUGACAAUUAUUCUGGUGAUUGAGAGUUUUGUUGUUACNNNNNNNNNNNNNNNNNNNNUAAUGCCAUGUACAUGACCUCAUCAAGCCAUAAUCUGGAUGUGGUUGGUCAUUGUACUUCAAGAGUUCAAGGCAUCUAGCUGAACAGCUUCUUCUGCGCUAAACUAGAGCACAAAUCAUAUACAGAGAAAUAAGAUGUCUUUUGUUGCAUUCCGUCCAAAGCCAAGACACAAGCUUAUCAAAUAACCCACACAAAACAACCUCAUUUGGAUGGUCACCUGGUCACCCACUACUCUAACCGACCCUUCAACUCAAACCCUGCACAUCUGAAGUCUCCGGCCAUCCUGUUAUGGGCUCAAAAAUCUUCCGAGAAAAGGAGUCCUCAGUCCGGCGAGCUCGCUAGCCAGAUAUAGAGGGCCCAAGCCGCCGUGGAGGACACCAGAGCCGGAGGUUGAGAAGAGGUCCGGACGGAAGCAAGAUUGAUUUCGGGGACGAGAGAGAGAGAGAGAGAGAGAGAGAGAGAGAGAGAGAGAGAGAGAGAGAGAGAGANAGGAAGNGANNNNNNNNNNNNNNNNNNNNGAGAGAGAGAGAGAGAGAAUGGGACGAGAAUUUGAGAGAGAGUCGAGACAGAAAUAAGAGAAUAGAUGAGAAAUAGCCUUGAGUUAAGAGUAUGAGAGAUCUUAACCGUCUAUUGAAAAUAAACGGUCUAGAUCUUCUUAUUAGGAAGUAUUAGCAGAGGUUCAUUAUGAGAGGAUCUGGAUCCCAUCCAAUGCUUUGUUCCUCUUAUCAAUAUGCUUGUCCUCUAGCUGGAAAACCCCUCCCCUUAACCACUCUUCUUCACCCAGCUUCUGCGUUGUUAAUACAGUGACAAGUACCCAGUAUUAAACGUCAAAUCAUUACACAACACAUAAUAAAACAAAUCAAACAAUGUAGCUACCUUAUCAUCAUAUAACAAGUCUGUGUUUCUCCAAUUCCAAUUCAUUCCUCCCAUCAUACUGUUCAAUAAUACAUUCAAAGCCGGUUAGCAAGAAUGUAUUCGCAAAUAUAACUCCCACUAAUUAUUUAGGUACUUACUCCUCACUUCCGGAUCCUCCGUGUCUUUCCAAACCUUCCUUACAGGCUCUCUUCCUUGUUUCGGACUUCGUCGCAUGCUCAGACUCACGUUUCUUCCUGCCCGUACCCUGCCGUUUCCACAUUCAUAAACGCAUUUACAUUUCAACUGUUUCAGAUAACUAAAAAUUCAAAAUAUUUUGAUGCAAAUUGUAACACUAACCAUUAUAUGCUUAUAAAUUUCAAUGAAUAUAAUCUGAUUUCAAUAAUUAACAAAUUUCACAUGUCUCGUUAUCCGGUAUCUAAACAAAAUUAUAGGGAUCUCGAAUUUCUUACGGUUUCUUCCAUGGAUGAUCAGACCGGUUGCCGAUUUCUGGAACGCGACUCCGAUGCACUGAAUUUCAGUUUCUGGAUCUAUAUCGGAAACCGACGACUCAGGGCGGUAUUUUCUGGAAAAACCCACAGCUUGCGCAAGAUUUUGAAUUCUGCUCCGACGGCUGAUAUGAAGUAACAGAAUCGUUCUGCUUUCGUCCACGCAGAGAAACCCUAGAUUUUGGAGAGAAGAAAAGGAAUCAGAAGAUCUGUUUCAGUCGAUCCUAUUAAUCGAUUCUGGAUGGCACGGGCGAGACGCGUGCGUACACGGUAAAAGUAUGAGUGAAAUUUUGGAUACCCUAUACAUACUAGCCAAAUACAGACCGUCUUAAUACAGAAUCCAGGGGGACAGUACACAGACAGUAGGGGCAGCUGGGUGCAGCACCCUUUGGGUGCAUUCCAGAAUUCUCCCUGAUUCAUUUAUCAAGGUUAGUAUAUAUUUGUUUGGCCUAAUUAAAAACCAAAAGACAACAUGAAAUAUCAAUUACCGACUAGAAUUAUAUAAAACAACACAAAUUUAUAUCAAAGUGGGCCCAAUAACAGUAUGGCAGGCUUGAAUAAGUAUAAAAAAUGCCUCAGCCACGUUUAAGUGUUUGUAUGUGGGUGAUACCUACACUUUUAUGUUCAAGAGGAGUGGGUUUCAUCUCAUAUCCACAUUCUUUUUCUUUUGUGGCAACACAUGUUGUUGCUCAUAUUUGUAGUAGUGACUCUUGAUGGAGACUACUUCGACUACAAAAUAAACAAUGCAACCUCACAUAAUUAUUACCCUGUAAAUGUCAUCAUUAGUAUAAAAUAAGUAGGGAUCGUUCAGUCCAGGGAUGUCAAACGGUGAAUUGAACUUAUAAGUGCUAACACAUACUCACAUAAUCACAUAAUACACAGAAAUUGGAGGGGGGGGGGGGGGUGGUUUGGAAAGAUUUAUCUAACUAAAACUACUGCUGAAAUAAAACCUAAACUAACAUAUAUACAUGUGAUCGACAACUUCACAUAAAACAAGAAACGAAAACACUCAAGAACAUGUAACUAAUCAUGCAAGACAUUCGGUACAGCAGUUUCUACACAUCCUAGACUUUACUUCAAUUCCGACUCUGAUUUAGAGCCCUUCGCGGUUACUCCAAUCGUUAAGACUUCACAAGUAUUUAGAAUCAACUUCGCGUGUAAUCCUAAAUUGUAUACUAACUCAUUUAAAGGCACUUCACGUAGAAAUUAAACAAGAAAACACAUAAGCAUAGUAAGCCGAAUCAGAAACAUGCACAAGGUAUGGCGUCACUCAUCCUAUUAACAUCCAAGUUUUCAGAAUUAUACUUAACCACUUUUAAGCAACAAAGACCUAGACAACUUCGCGUAUGACUAAAUCAUAUAUCACUUUGGUAGAUGAAAUUGCAACCCACAUAUCAACUAUGGCCUUAGGCUAUAUGCAACCAUUGAUUUUGCCUGCUCAAUUCAGAAAACUAAUCGAAUACAAUCAAGAACGCAUUGAAACAUGCUGCCCUAAAUCUAGCACAGAAAAUAUCACAUGAACAAGUUUGAAACAAUAGUCAUACAUAAGUUAUAAAUAUCAGAAAAUCUAAACAUGUUACAAAACCAAAUCGGUAACCAUAAAAACAAACAAUCUUCAUAGACAAAGUGUCGUAAAAUUACAGAAACAUAAACAGUCAUGAGAAGAAUGGAUCGCACUUUGUAGAAACCUUGAAUGGUUGCUGCAAAGGUGGUGGAAUUGGUGAUGGAAUUAUACAAAACAAAAGGGAGAUAGUGGUGGUUCGGCUAAUCUAGUUUCUGUAUAGGGUUUAUGGUGAGGAAUUGGUAGAGUUCCGGCUUGUGUUUGUAUGGAAGAAGUGAUGCCCAUUUAUGAAGCCAAGCAGCCUUUAUAUAGUGUCCAUAAAUUUCUCUUAGCCCUUGAUUCAAUCUUGAUCCAACGGUCCUCCUCGAUUGCACAAAGUCUGCUAUUUAUCUCCACUGAUAUUUUCCUUAUCUUCAAAGAUAUUUAUCUUAUCUCUAAAGAUAUUUCUAGACAUGUGCAAUAAUGUUUUGAAUAUAGCUUGAAUCAUGUCCGGAUACAUUGCUUAGCCUCCAAGAGUCUUCAUAGCAAGGAUUACUUGUUCAAAUUGAACUUCUCCUCAAUUAAUGAUGUGGGACUAGCUCCACAAUUUUGACUUUUCUCCUCCCUUUUAGAGUUGGAAUCCAAAUUUGCUUCUUCUUCCUUCUUUGGACUUGGGCCUCUUUUGGGUUUUCUACAUUUUCUCUUAAAUCCACGAUUUAGCUGUCUUUUCUCGAUUUAUGCUCUUAUUGUCUAACACUUUGUGCGUUUAUCAAUUAUCUCCUUAUUUAAUUCUCAAUUCGCGCUACAUUUUCUCUUCUUUAAUUUCUGACAAUAAGAAAGAAGAAAUAAAAUAAAGACAAGGUAAUUAUCACAAAUAUUACAGAAUCGUCAAAUAAUGAAGACUUUUAAUUCAACUAGGCUUCCUAGUUGCACAAGGAAUCCUACUCUAAAUAAAACUCUUGACAAAUUCUGCGUUUUCAGCUCGUUUUAGCACAAUAUACAACCGACUCUACCAGAAACUCUUAACUUGACUAAAUGACUCAAUAUUACAACAAUAAGGGUUAAGCAAAGUAUAACUGGAGAUAAAAAC
This 4787-nucleotide long non-coding RNA is filed under the name Fragaria vesca (wild strawberry). Its description in RNAcentral is "long non-coding RNA (FVES_LNC003711)". The record is from RNAcentral. Lineage: Eukaryota; Viridiplantae; Streptophyta; Magnoliopsida; Rosales; Rosaceae.